CUCUCCCUGGAGUCUGGGAAUCAGUGAAACCCAGGCAUGCCAGGAAGAGCUCAGCGGAUCAGGCUUUGAGAACAGUUUCGGCUCAGUAUGAGGACUGGGUGCCCAGGUGGAGCUGCUGGUGGUACAGCCCUGUGCCUUGAGACAGAAGGGCAGCCUCCCUGGAGAGCAUUCCAGUGGGUCCCCAAAUCUGACAUAUCAAGAUUAAGACCUGAGGAUUUGGAGCAGAGUGACAAGAAAGGGAUCAAACUUGAGGUGACUGAGCUGAGACAGGAGUCCCCCUGCCAAGGUAGGAGCCACAUAUUCGGGGCCCUUGGUCCAGG
Molecule: long non-coding RNA, 320 nt
Organism: Globicephala melas (long-finned pilot whale)
Lineage: Eukaryota; Metazoa; Chordata; Mammalia; Artiodactyla; Delphinidae
Source: RefSeq, a predicted model, not a curated record